UGCAGAAGUGGACUGGUGUGGUAUUGCUUCUGCUCAUCUUUGUACAUUAAUUUAAUCAUAUGGCAUCGGCUUAAUUAAGACGAGCCGAAUCAAUAUCACUCUAGUGCGCUUCACU
Molecule: microRNA precursor, 115 nt
Filed under: Vigna radiata var. radiata (mung bean)
Lineage: Eukaryota; Viridiplantae; Streptophyta; Magnoliopsida; Fabales; Fabaceae
Source: RNAcentral